GACGAACCGUGCGAACGUUGUUCGGAUUCACUGGGCUUAAAGGGCGCGUAGGCGGGUCAACAAGUCAGGGGUGAAAGCUUUCGGCUCAACCGGAAAAGGGCCGUUGAUACUAUUGAUCUGGAGUGAGGUAGGGGCAUGCGGAACAGUGGGUGGAGCGGUGAAAUGCGUAGAUAUCCACGGGAACGCCGGUGGCGAAAGCGGCGUGCUGGAUCGCGACUGACGCUGAGGCGCGAAAGCUAGGGGAGCAAACGGG
RNAcentral lists this ribosomal RNA (253 nucleotides) under uncultured bacterium. RNAcentral describes it as "partial 16S ribosomal RNA". It matches the Rfam family "Bacterial small subunit ribosomal RNA", at positions 524 to 776 of the family's 1533-position model. The record is from RNAcentral.